Molecule: ribosomal RNA, 303 nt
Filed under: uncultured bacterium
Lineage: Bacteria
Description: partial 16S ribosomal RNA
Rfam family: Bacterial small subunit ribosomal RNA
Source: RNAcentral
AGCAGUAGCCGCGGGAAUACGGAGGGUGCAAGCGUUAAUCGGAAUUACUGGGCGUAAAGCGCACGCAGGCGGUCUGUUAAGUCAGAUGUGAAAUCCCCGGGCUCAACCCGGGAACUGCAUUUGAAACUGGCAGGCUUGAGUCUUGUAGAGGGGGGUAGAAUUCCAGGUGUAGCGGUGAAAUGCGUAGAGAUCUGGAGGAAUACCGGUGGCGAAGGCGGCCCCCUGGACAAAGACUGACGCUCAGGUGCGAAAGCAUGGGGAGCAAACAGGAUUAGAUACCCCGGUAGUCCCUGUCUCUUAUAC